This 440-nucleotide ribosomal RNA is filed under the name uncultured bacterium. RNAcentral describes it as "partial 16S ribosomal RNA". It matches the Rfam family "Bacterial small subunit ribosomal RNA", at positions 338 to 795 of the family's 1533-position model. The record is from RNAcentral.
CCUACGGGUGGCAGCAGUAGGGAAUCUUCCACAAUGGAGGAAACCCUGAUGCAGCAAUGCCGCGUGAGUGAAGAAGGUCUUCGGCUCGUAAAGCUCUUUCGGUCGUGACGAUGAUGACGGUAACGUCUUAAGCUGCACCGGCGAACUUCGUGUCAGCAGCCGCGGUAAUACGAAGGGUGCGAGCGUUGUUCGGAAUUACUGGGCGGAAAGGGAGUGUAGGCGGAUAAGUAAGAUAGCGGUGAAGUGCCGGGGCUCAACCCCGGAACUGCCCUUAUGACUAUGUAUCUAGAGUGCUGGAGAGGAUAGCGGAAUACCAAGUGUAGAGGUGGAAUGCGUAGAUAUUUGGUAGAACACCAGUGGCGAAGGCGGCUAUCUGGCCAGUUACUGACGCUGAGGCUCGAAAGCAUGGGUAGCAAACAGGAUUAGAUACCCCAGUAGUC